UGGGCGCAAGCCUGAUCCAGCCAUGCCGCGUGUGGAAGAAGGCCUUCGGGUUGUAAAGCACUUUUGUCCGGAAAGAAAAGCCUUGGGUUAAUACCCUGAGGUCAUGACGGUACCGGAAGAAUAAGCACCGGCUAACUUCGUGCCAGCAGCCGCGGUAAUACGAAGGGUGCAAGCGUUACUCGGAAUUACUGGGCGUAAAGCGUGCGUAGGUGGUUUGUUAAGUCUGAUGUGAAAGCCCUGGGCUCAACCUGGGAAUGGCAUUGGAAACUGGCUGACUAGAGUGCGGAGAGGGUAGUGGAAUUCCCGGUGUAGCAGUGAAUGCGUAGAUAUCGGGAGGAACAUCUGUGGCGAAGGCGACUCCUGGACCAGCACUGCACUGAGGCCGAAAGCGUGGGGAGCAAACAGGAUUAGAUACCCUGGUAGUCCACGCCCUAAACGAUGCGAACUGGAUGUUGGGAGCAACUUGGCUCUCAGUAUCGAAGCUAACGCGUAAGUUCGCCGCCUGGGAAGUACGGUCGCAAGACUGAAACUCAAAGGAAUUGACGGG
Molecule: ribosomal RNA, 547 nt
Filed under: uncultured Lysobacter sp.
Lineage: Bacteria; Pseudomonadati; Pseudomonadota; Gammaproteobacteria; Lysobacterales; Lysobacteraceae
Description: bacterial SSU rRNA
Rfam family: Bacterial small subunit ribosomal RNA
Source: RNAcentral